UUAUUAUUAUUAUUAUUAUUAUUAUUAUUAUUAUAAUAGUUAUUAUUAAUAUAUUAUUAUUAAAAGAAUAUAUAUACAUACAAUAACUUAUGCGUAAUACAAUUUCCAGGCUCCCUAUUUUCUUUCUUGUUUCUCUCUCUCAACUACUGUCACUGCCAGUGACGACAGCGACAUUGGUCUUCUUCCGUUCGGAUGAGACAACGACAGUGGUGGACUAGUGACAACGAUUUUAGUUGACCGGCGGUUUGGAGGAGAUGACGGGGAAGGAUGAUAGUGAUUUUCUGGUGAGCAGCGGUGGGAGAGAGGAAGAUUGGUGCCUGUGGUAGCCGACUCUCCGAUGUUUUCUCCGGAUCUAGUUGGGAAGGGUUAACGACGGGAAAGGGGAAGAAACGGACGACGCGAAGCUUUGCCGGCGGCGGGAAAAGGGUGGCAGUUGAGGGAUUCCGGCGAUGGGGAAGAGGGAGUUGACAGUGGUAAACGCUGGAGAAAACACUGGUUUAUGCGUUUUUUGGCAGAUUUUCACCGGAUAUGAUUUUUUUUUUUGGUGGUUCCGAUGGGUUUCACCGGGGAAAAUGGAGGCAAGAUGAUUGAUGUUUUGUAUUCUGGCAGAUUUCGUUAGUGAUGGUUUUCUUACCAGACUUUGACAAAACAUCACCGGAAAACGAAACAACUUUCAAUUAUUCCAUGUUUCUAUCUGACUGGUUUUUCAUCAAUUAGUUUAGUAUGUAUUGUGGAUAUGCAUAUGUAUUAUGCAGUAUAUCUAAUGCUCACUUUAUAUAUAUAUAUUUGUAUAUUACAGUGAAUGUGUGUGUCACCC
This 817-nucleotide long non-coding RNA is filed under the name Capsicum annuum. RNAcentral describes it as "long non-coding RNA (CANN_LNC021650)". The record is from RNAcentral. Lineage: Eukaryota; Viridiplantae; Streptophyta; Magnoliopsida; Solanales; Solanaceae.